UACGGAGGGUGCAAGCGUUAUUCGGAAUUACUGGGCGUAAAGCGCGCGUAGGCGGCUUUGUAAGUCAGGGGUGAAAUCCCACGGCUCAACCGUGGAACUGCCUUUGAAACUGCGAGGCUUGAAUCCUGGAGAGGGUGGCGGAAUUCCUGGUGUAGGAGUGAAAUCCGUAGAUAUCAGGAGGAACACCGGUGGCGAAGGCGGCCACCUGGACAGGUAUUGACGCUGAGGUGCGAAAGUGUGGGGAGCAAACAGGAUUAGAUACCCCUGUAGUCCCUGAG
This 278-nucleotide ribosomal RNA is filed under the name uncultured prokaryote. RNAcentral describes it as "partial 16S ribosomal RNA". It matches the Rfam family "Bacterial small subunit ribosomal RNA", at positions 524 to 801 of the family's 1533-position model. The record is from RNAcentral.